AGCUCCAAGAAUAAGCGGAGGAGGUGGCCCGGGUCGGCAUCGACACCGUCUGGCGCAGGCCACGGGCCCUCUUCCAAGUGCGUCUGCGGGCCGGCCACCCACGCCGGGUCCUUUAAGUGCCGCUUCCACCGCACCAACUCCCAUGGUCAGGGAAGCCACCCUUCUUCGCCCCCUUCACCGGUCGCGGCCAACACGGUGCCGCGGCACCCGACGUUGCCGUCCUCGUCCUCCGGCAUCGUCGCGACCCAGUGA
This 252-nucleotide ribosomal RNA is filed under the name Triticum aestivum (bread wheat). RNAcentral describes it as "partial small subunit ribosomal RNA". Lineage: Eukaryota; Viridiplantae; Streptophyta; Magnoliopsida; Poales; Poaceae. The record is from RNAcentral.